This 74-nucleotide transfer RNA is filed under the name Arundinibacter roseus. It matches the Rfam family "tRNA". Rfam says of the family: Transfer RNA (tRNA) molecules are approximately 80 nucleotides in length. Their secondary structure includes four short double-helical elements and three loops (D, anti-codon, and T loops). Further hydrogen bonds mediate the characteristic L-shaped molecular structure. tRNAs have two regions of fundamental functional importance: the anti-codon, which is responsible for specific mRNA codon recognition, and the 3' end, to which the tRNAs corresponding amino acid is attached (by aminoacyl-tRNA synthetases). tRNAs cope with the degeneracy of the genetic code in two manners: having more than one tRNA (with a specific anti-codon) for a particular amino acid; and 'wobble' base-pairing, i.e. permitting non-standard base-pairing at the 3rd anti-codon position. Lineage: Bacteria; Pseudomonadati; Bacteroidota; Cytophagia; Cytophagales; Spirosomataceae. The record is from Rfam by way of RNAcentral.
GAGAUUGUAGCUCAGCAGGUUAGAGCGUCGGAUUGUGGUUCCGAAGGUCGCGGGUUCGAACCCCGUCUUUCUCC